GGAAUCUUCCACAAUGGACGCAAGUCUGAUGGAGCAACGCCGCGUGAGUGAAGAAGGUUUUCGGACCGUAAAGCUCUGUUGUUGGUGAAGAAGGAUAGAGGUAGUAACUGGCCUUUAUUUGACGGUAAUCAACCAGAAAGUCACGGCUAACUACGUGCCAGCAGCCGCGGUAAUACGUAGGUGGCAAGCGUUGUCCGGAUUUAUUGGGCGUAAAGCGAGCGCAGGCGGAAGAAUAAGUCUGAUGUGAAAGCCCUCGGCUUAACCGAGGAAUUGCAUCGGAAACUGUUUUCUUGAGUGCAGAAGAGGAGAGUAGAACUCUAUGUGUAGCGGUGGAAUGCGUAGAUAUAUGGAAGAAUACCAGUGGCGAAGGCGGCUCUCUGGUCUGCAACUGACGCUGAGGCUCGAAAGCAUGGGUAGCGAACAGGAUUAGAUACCCUGGUAGUCCAUGCCGUAAACGAUGAGUGCUAAGUGUUGGGAGGCUUCCGCCUCUCAGUGCUGCAGCUAACGCAUUAAGCACUCCGCCUGGGGGAGUACGACCGCAAGGUUGAA
Molecule: ribosomal RNA, 549 nt
Filed under: uncultured bacterium
Lineage: Bacteria
Description: partial 16S ribosomal RNA
Rfam family: Bacterial small subunit ribosomal RNA
Source: RNAcentral